CCUACGGGCGGCAGCAGUGAGGAAUAUUGGUCAAUGGACGAGAGUCUGAACCAGCCAAGUAGCGUGAAGGAUGACUGCCCUAUGGGUUGUAAACUUCUUUUAUAUGGGAAUAAAAUGUUCCACGUGUGGGAUUUUGUAUGUACCAUAUGAAUAAGGAUCGGCUAACUCCGUGCCAGCAGCCGCGGUAAUACGGAGGAUCCGAGCGUUAGACGGAUUUAUUGGGUUUAAAGGGAGCGUAGGUGGAUUGUUAAGUCAGUUGUGAAAGUUUGCGGCUCAACCGUAAAAUUGCAGUUGAAACUGGCAGUCUUGAGUACAGUAGAGGUGGGCGGAAUUCGUGGUGUAGCGGUGAAAUGCUUAGAUAUCACGAAGAACUCCGAUUGCGAAGGCAGUUCACUGGACUGCAACUGACACUGAGGCUCGAAAGUGUGGGUAUCAAACAGGAUUAGAUACCCCGGUAGUC
This 460-nucleotide ribosomal RNA is filed under the name uncultured bacterium. Its description in RNAcentral is "partial 16S ribosomal RNA". It matches the Rfam family "Bacterial small subunit ribosomal RNA", at positions 338 to 795 of the family's 1533-position model. The record is from RNAcentral.